RNAcentral lists this ribosomal RNA (252 nucleotides) under uncultured bacterium. RNAcentral describes it as "partial 16S ribosomal RNA". It matches the Rfam family "Bacterial small subunit ribosomal RNA", at positions 524 to 776 of the family's 1533-position model. The record is from RNAcentral.
UACAGAGGGUGCAAGCGUUGUUCAGAAUUAUUGGGCGUAAAGAGCGUGUAGGCGGCUUGGUAGGUCUUGCGUCAAAACCUGAGGCUCAACCUCAGUUCGCGUGGGAAACCACCCAGCUAGAGUCCGGAAGAGGAGAACGGAAUUCCCAGUGUAGCGGUGAAAUGCGCAGAUAUUGGGAAGAACACCAGUGGCGAAGGCGGUUCUCUGGGACGGUACUGACGCUGAGACGCGAAAGCGUGGGGAGCGAACAGG